RNAcentral lists this non-coding RNA (945 nucleotides) under Microhyla pulchra. RNAcentral's name for it is "12S ribosomal RNA". It matches the Rfam family "Bacterial small subunit ribosomal RNA". The record is from RNAcentral. Lineage: Eukaryota; Metazoa; Chordata; Amphibia; Anura; Microhylidae.
CAAAGGCUUGGUCCUGGCCUUAUUAUCAGCUUAUCCUUAACUUACACAUGCAAGUAUCAGCACACCCGUGAGAACGCCCUUAUAACCUUACUAGGACAAGGAGCCGGUAUCAGGCACAGACCCAUCUAGCCCAUUACACCUAGCUUUGCCACUCCCUCAAGGGUCUUCAGCAGUGAUUAACAUUGUUUAUAAGCGACAGCUUGACUCAGUUAAAGGACACAGGGCCGGCUAAUACGGUGCCAGCCGCCGCGGCUACACCGCUAGGCUCAAGUUGAUAUUAUUCGGCGUUAAGCGUGUUUAAAGUGCUUUCCAAGAUUAGAACUAAACCCUAACCAAGCUGUGACACGCUUGCUAUCAGGAAAAACAAAUACGAAAGUUAUUCUAACCUACCCACUUGAACCCACGACAGCUAGGACACAAACUGGGAUUAGGUACCCCACUAUGCCUAGCCGUAAAAUAUUUAUUUACACCUUUAACCGCCAGGGGAUUACGAGCCCAAGCUUAAAACCCAAAGGACUUGACGGUGUCCCACCCACCUAGAGGAGCCUGUUCUAUAAUCGAUUCUCCCCGUUAUACCUCACCACUUCUAGCUUCUCAGCCUGUAUACCUCCGUCGUAAGCUUACCCUAUGAACGCCUUUUAGUGAGCAAAAAGAUUUUACAUAAAUACGUCAGGUCAAGGUGCAGCCUACGAAAUGGCAAGAAAUGGGCUACAAUUUCUAUGAGCAUAGAACACAACGAAAGACUACAUGCAACUUAGUCAUGAAGGCGGAUUUAGUAGUAAAAAGAAAAUAGAGAGUUCUUUUUAAUUAGGCGCUGGGACGCGUACACACCGCCCGUCACCCUCUUCAAACGCUUAAACUCAGUUUAUAACAAACUAAUGCACCACAGAAGAGGUAAGUCGUAACAUGGUAAGCGUACUGGAAAGUGCGCUUGGAAUAAACAAA